GACGAACGCUGGCGGCGUGCCUAAUACAUGCCAGUAGAACGCUGAAGCGAGGAGCUUGCUCUUCUUGGAUGAGUUGCGAACGGGUGAGUAACGCGUAGGUAACCUGCCUUGUAGCGGGGGAUAACUAUUGGAAACGAUAGCUAAUACCGCAUAACAAUGGAUGACACAUGUCAUUUAUUUGGAAGGGGCAAUUGCUCCACUACAAGAUGGACCUGCGUUGUAUUAGCUAGUAGGUGAGGUAAUGGCUCACCUAGGCGACGAUACAUAGCCGACCUGAGAGGGUGAUCGGCCACACUGGGACUGAGACACGGCCCAGACUCCUACGGGAGGCAGCAGUAGGGAAUCUUCGGCAAUGGGGGCAACCCUGACCGAGCAACGCCGCGUGAGUGAAGAAGGUUUUCGGAUCGUAAAGCUCUGUUGUAAGUCAAGAACGGGUGUGAGAGUGGAAAGUUCACACUGUGACGGUAGCUUACCAGAAAGGGACGGCUAACUACGUG
This 497-nucleotide ribosomal RNA is filed under the name uncultured bacterium. Its description in RNAcentral is "partial 16S ribosomal RNA". It matches the Rfam family "Bacterial small subunit ribosomal RNA", at positions 28 to 507 of the family's 1533-position model. The record is from RNAcentral.